UAGAGUUUGAUCCUGGCUCAGGAUGAACGCUGGCGGCGUGCCUAAUACAUGCAAGUCGAACGAACUUCCGUUAAUUGAUUAUGACGUACUUGUACUGAUUGAGAUUUUAACACGAAGUGAGUGGCGAACGGGUGAGUAACACGUGGGUAACCUGCCCAGAAGUAGGGGAUAACACCUGGAAACAGAUGCUAAUACCGUAUAACAGAGAAAACCGCAUGGUUUUCUUUUAAAAGAUGGCUCUGCUAUCACUUCUGGAUGGACCCGCGGCGUAUUAGCUAGUUGGUGAGGCAAAGGCUCACCAAGGCAGUGAUACGUAGCCGACCUGAGAGGGUAAUCGGCCACAUUGGGACUGAGACACGGCCAGACCCU
This 369-nucleotide ribosomal RNA is filed under the name Pediococcus pentosaceus. RNAcentral's name for it is "bacterial SSU rRNA". It matches the Rfam family "Bacterial small subunit ribosomal RNA", at positions 1 to 339 of the family's 1533-position model. The record is from RNAcentral. Lineage: Bacteria; Bacillati; Bacillota; Bacilli; Lactobacillales; Lactobacillaceae.